GACUGGCUGCCGACCUCGGGGCCGCUCUCCAUCCUGGUCUGGUUGGACAACUGCCGAGGCGGAGGAGAAACGGCCUGAGCACAGUUUCACCACGUGAGA
Molecule: long non-coding RNA, 99 nt
Organism: Salarias fasciatus (jewelled blenny)
Lineage: Eukaryota; Metazoa; Chordata; Actinopteri; Blenniiformes; Blenniidae
Exons: 3
Source: RefSeq, a predicted model, not a curated record